CACAGAGUUCAAGUCUUGAGACGAUACAUGGCGACGAUGGCCGAACUGAGACAGAAUUCCAGGUAUCGAAAGGACGAGAUUUUUCAACGCAUAAAGUUGACAACAUUUGUACAACUGAUUCUGCAGGUGGAACAGCUGAAAGACGCGCCGAUGGAAGCAGGCAUUCGCUGCUGGUGAUGAGGC
This is a long non-coding RNA of Priapulus caudatus, 183 nucleotides long. RefSeq lists it as uncharacterized. NCBI's taxonomy places the organism in Eukaryota, Metazoa, Priapulida, Priapulimorpha, Priapulimorphida, Priapulidae. The record is from RefSeq and is a predicted model, not a curated record. The transcript has 3 exons.